GAUGAACGCUGGCGGCGUGCCUAAUACAUGCAAGUCGAACGCUGAAGGCGGAGCUUGCUCUGCUGGACGAGUUGCGAACGGGUGAGUAACGCGUAGGUAACCUGCCUUGUAGCGGGGGAUAACUAUUGGAAACGAUAGCUAAUACCGCAUGACAACAGUUAUUGCAUGGUAACUGGUUAAGAGGGGCAACUGCUCGACUACCAGAUGGACCUGCGUCGUAUUAGCGAGUUGGUGGGGUAACGGCUCACCAAGGCGAGGAUAUAUAGCCGACGUGAGAGGGUGAUCGGCCACACUGGGACGGUGACACGGCACAUAGGCCUACAGGAGGGAGCAGGAGGGAAUCGUGGGGAAUGGGCGGAAGACUGACCGAGAAGCGCCGCGGGAGUGAAGAAGGAUGUCGGGUCGGAAAGCUCGGUCGUCGGGGAAGAACGAGCGUGAGACUGGAAAGUUGCCACUGUGACGGUACCUGACUAGAAAGCGACGGCUAACUACGUG
RNAcentral lists this ribosomal RNA (495 nucleotides) under uncultured bacterium. RNAcentral describes it as "partial 16S ribosomal RNA". It matches the Rfam family "Bacterial small subunit ribosomal RNA", at positions 28 to 507 of the family's 1533-position model. The record is from RNAcentral.